RNAcentral lists this ribosomal RNA (248 nucleotides) under uncultured bacterium. RNAcentral describes it as "partial 16S ribosomal RNA". It matches the Rfam family "Bacterial small subunit ribosomal RNA", at positions 57 to 305 of the family's 1533-position model. The record is from RNAcentral.
GCAAGUCGAACGGCAGCACGAGAGCUUGCUCUUGGUGGCGAGUGGCGGACGGGUGAGUAAUACUUAGGAAUCUAUCCAGUAGUUGGGGAUAACGUGUGGAAACGCACGCUAAUACCGAAUACGCACUAUGGUGGAAAGAGGGGGCUCUUCGGACCUCUCACUAUUGGGUGAGCCUAAGCCGGAUUAGCUAGUUGGUGGGGUAAUGGCCUACCAAGUCACCGAUCUAUAGCUGGUUUGAGAGGAUGAUC